This 220-nucleotide unclassified non-coding RNA is filed under the name plant metagenome. RNAcentral's name for it is "partial contains small subunit ribosomal RNA, internal transcribed spacer 1, and 5.8S ribosomal RNA". The record is from RNAcentral.
UUACCGUAGGUGAACCUGCGGAAGGAUCAUUACAGAGUUCAUGCCCUCACGGGUAGAUCUCCCACCCUUGAAUAUUUAUACCUUAGUUGCUUUGGCAGGCCGUGGAAACACCAUGGGCUCCGGCUUAUGCGUGCCUGCCAGAGGAAACAAACUCUGUUUUUAGUGAUGUCUGAGUACUAUAUAAUAGUUAAAACUUUCAACAACGGAUCUCUUGGUUCUG